GAGAACAGAGUCUCCUCUUCCCAUACUUGGUGCAGACCUAGCCUGCCUGGACUCCGUAGAAAGCACUGGAUCUUGUGACAUGUGUAUUCAAAACAGGCAUUUGAAAGUGACUUUGCCAAAAUUGUCAUAACUGAACUUUUGCUCUGUGGACUUUCUGAUUUUGUUUUUAAUUUUUACCUCUAUCUACCAGUCUUAGUUGAGAAAGAAAGGAGACAUAAUUAUAAUAAGUUUUUGUUUCAAAUUCUAGGUUUAAGAAGUGCAGAUUCCCUGAUUACAGUCAGGUGGACUCGUAUAUAUUUAUAGUCUCUCCGCAGCCAGCCUGGGACAGACCGACUGACAUUUGAGGGCUGGCCGUCUUUCACCAUGCUAAAGGGAUUUUAACAAUACAUCCCAUUUCUAUUUAUCCAUAUCGCUCUCAUGGUUCAUUGCCAAAACGAAAGCAUUUUAUGUAUUGAGUUGAGGUUGGGAUGGGGUGGCUCUUUCUGUGGCGUCGCAUGGGAGGGAAGACUUUGUAUAACACUCGGUCGUCAACACAUCCUCCCCCAAUCUCCAGCAAUAUACAGAAAUUUCAGUAGACUAAACUCAGCCCGGUUUUAAAUGUGAGCAUGCGCUUUGCCAUCCAAUGUGGGUUUUGCUUUGGCUUAGGUUUUGGUUUUUGAUUUUUAAGACAGGGUUUCUCUGUGUAGCCCUGGCUGUCCUGGAACUCACUCUGUAGACCAGGCUGGCCUCGAACUCAAGAGAUCCACCUGCCUCUGCCCCCUGAGUGCAGCCUCCAUACCCAGCUGGUUUUAUUUUUUAAUGAUAACUUGGUUGGUUUUGGGGGGCUUUCCAAACCUGGUCACUCAUGUAAGCGAUGAAACGAGCCAGUGGCACCUGUGGCUGGCGUGCGAUGGGCUCAGUGACUUUUCUUUCUGCACUCUGCCUCAUCCUCCACCUACCAGACUGGAAACUGACUUUUAAUCCUCUAAUAAAAACAAUGAGCCCUCCAAGUCCUUCUUUGAUAUCUUCUGUUUGUUAUAAGUCAGAAAGAAGUAGUUCUCCCCCGAGACUCAGACUCUGUCUGGGCCAGAAGCCAUUCAUCGGGGUUGCAAUGGCAAGCAGCCUCCCUCCUUUUCCCCACAUACAGGCUUGGUUUUCAGGAGAUGGGUUUCUCUAAGGAAGUCUGUCUCUCUGCUGUAAAAUGCCUUUUGAAACCGUCCCUCUUUUUCAUACUUCCCAUAGGGCAUUUGUAGAAUUAGUGACCUACUGCAUGUCUGUCCCCAGGACGGGGAAAGACAGGCAGCUCCUCAGCCUCCUCCCACCCCUCAGCCUGAAAACUCAGGUGCAACCAAGUGUUCGGCUCUGUGCGCCUCGCUUCAGAGCAUCCCGCUUGAGAGGAGCCACCUUCUAGUAAGAGUGGGCAGACACGGGUACGUGCGUCAAACAUACAUCUCAAUAUUUCUCAAGCAGCAAACGGGGGUCGCAGUCUUGGCUCUUAGGAAACUACUUAACUUCCACAGACGUUCUUAAGAUGUGUCGACAGUAUUGCGUCACCCGCUGCUGUCCCGGGCUUGAACAGACGGUGUUUGGUUUGCCUGCAUAGGCAAAGCUGGGUCUUGGUGACUGGACUUGUGCAUGUGCCCACUGUUUCGUCCCGUCCACGGCCAGGGAUCUGGGCAGGGCAGUCACACCCAUAGCCCGGCACCUACGAGGUUGUACUUAACACAAUCAGAUGGGGUUCACGGCAAUAUAACAGUUAAUGAACUUGGAGUUUAAAUUGUGUACAUUUUUAAAUUGUAAGAUUUUUACUGUAUAUUGAAGCUUAGUGUGAUUCAAUAAAUUGCUUGUAAUUUAAAAACUAUUUAAUAUUCAAAAUAAAUAUAGUUAUAUAUUUAUAAUAA
This 1880-nucleotide long non-coding RNA is filed under the name Rattus norvegicus (Norway rat). Its description in RNAcentral is "long non-coding RNA NONRATT007757". The record is from RNAcentral. Lineage: Eukaryota; Metazoa; Chordata; Mammalia; Rodentia; Muridae.